GGAGAGAUGGCAGAGCGGUUGAAUGCGGUAGUCUCGAAAACUAUUUCAGGUUUAUUCCUGACGGGGGUUCGAAUCCCCCUCUCUCCG
This 87-nucleotide transfer RNA is filed under the name Hyella patelloides LEGE 07179. RNAcentral's name for it is "Hyella sp. LEGE 07179 tRNA". It matches the Rfam family "tRNA". From Rfam's summary of the family: Transfer RNA (tRNA) molecules are approximately 80 nucleotides in length. Their secondary structure includes four short double-helical elements and three loops (D, anti-codon, and T loops). Further hydrogen bonds mediate the characteristic L-shaped molecular structure. tRNAs have two regions of fundamental functional importance: the anti-codon, which is responsible for specific mRNA codon recognition, and the 3' end, to which the tRNAs corresponding amino acid is attached (by aminoacyl-tRNA synthetases). tRNAs cope with the degeneracy of the genetic code in two manners: having more than one tRNA (with a specific anti-codon) for a particular amino acid; and 'wobble' base-pairing, i.e. permitting non-standard base-pairing at the 3rd anti-codon position. The record is from Rfam by way of RNAcentral. Lineage: Bacteria; Bacillati; Cyanobacteriota; Cyanophyceae; Pleurocapsales; Pleurocapsaceae.